This 253-nucleotide ribosomal RNA is filed under the name uncultured bacterium. Its description in RNAcentral is "partial 16S ribosomal RNA". It matches the Rfam family "Bacterial small subunit ribosomal RNA", at positions 524 to 776 of the family's 1533-position model. The record is from RNAcentral.
UACGUAGGUGGCAAGCGUUGUUCGGAAUUAUUGGGCGUAAAGGGCGCGUAGGCGGUUUGUUAAGUCGGUCGUGAAAGCCCGGGGCUCAACCCCGGAGGGUCGACCGAUACUGGCAGACUAGAGUACAGAAGAGGUAACUGGAAUUCCCGGUGUAGCGGUGAAAUGCGUAGAUAUCAGGAGGAACACCGGUGGCGAAGGCGGAUCUCUGGGCCUUGCCUGACGCUGAGGCGCGAAAGCUAGGGGAGCGAACAGG